Molecule: ribosomal RNA, 219 nt
Filed under: uncultured bacterium
Lineage: Bacteria
Description: partial 16S ribosomal RNA
Rfam family: Bacterial small subunit ribosomal RNA
Source: RNAcentral
AACGUCUCAGUUCGGAUUGUAGUCUGCAACUCGACUACAUGAAGCUGGAAUCGCUAGUAAUCGCGGAUCAGAAUGCCGCGGUGAAUACGUUCCCGGGUCUUGUACACACCGCCCGUCACACCAUGGGAGUCGGGAAUGCCCGAAGUCAGUGGCCCAACCGGAAGGGGGGAGCUGCCGAAGGCAGGCCUGAUGACUGGGGUGAAGUCGUAACAAGGUAAC